CAAAUACACUGUUAUAGUAAAACUCUAAAUGUGGUCUCAAGUUUUGUUUUAAUUUAUGUGCCGAAAAUAUUGGUUUAUUCCUACAUACAUUAUACAUGAAUCCUGGUGUCAGGUGUCCGCCUAGGUAAGAGAUGCACAUGGACCUGGUCAUCCACUUGAUGUUUCCCAGUGCUCUGUGGUCCAGUUUUGAUGCUCACUGUCAUGGUCCGGUUCCUGGACUCACUUUGACUUAAGCUUGAAGCUUAAGCUUCUCUCUUGGACUCAGGAUACCUUACCCCCAUCUUGGAUAUCACUCUGUGCCCUCCUCCCACCUCACACCAUCAGGAACCUUCAAAUCUCAGUGACUUUGAGCACCACCCGAACCACAAUCUGCACCCCAGAUUCCCCUUUAGCUCCCGGUUCAUGUCCACCACUCCUAGAGUCUGAUAUCCACCAUAGCUCACAGCUCAUGUUUGGUAUUCUAAGCAUUAAAUCAUUGUAUGUAAAUAAAGCAUUGUUGUCAUAUUUAAAUCAGUGCCUCCGACUGUAUCCGUGUUUGGGUUCACUCUC
Molecule: long non-coding RNA, 549 nt
Organism: Oreochromis niloticus (Nile tilapia)
Lineage: Eukaryota; Metazoa; Chordata; Actinopteri; Cichliformes; Cichlidae
Exons: 3
Source: RefSeq, a predicted model, not a curated record